RNAcentral lists this long non-coding RNA (963 nucleotides) under Monodelphis domestica (gray short-tailed opossum). RNAcentral's name for it is "lncRNA (ENSMODG00000049238.1)". Lineage: Eukaryota; Metazoa; Chordata; Mammalia; Didelphimorphia; Didelphidae. The record is from RNAcentral.
CCCCCACUUGCUGAAGAGGUAGAAAGGGUCCCUACCCUUCCUUUGGGGAUCUGAGCCCUUCUAAAAAUGAAGAGGAUCAAAGUCACCGAUGCCACAGUGCAGAGUACAUUGGAGCAACAGCUGCCCCGUUUGUGCCCUCGUGAAUAACAAUGACAAAUUCCAGAACUAACGAUCCAUAGAGGGGACUGGUCUGGUAGGCUUCCUGACUCCAAAGCAGGUUCUCUAUCACUCUGCCAAGCUCUCUUUCAUGCUAAGUGACUACUAAAUGUGAGACACUGUACUGGGUCCUCAGAGCACAAAGGUAUGAGGCUGAGGGUGAACCCUAAUGAACCUACAUUUGGGGCUCAAGCUUUAUUAGCCCUCUCCCAGGCUUGGUAGAAGAGAAGGGGGCUUGGACCCUCUGCGGCUCCUGUGUGGUGGGCUCAGAUGACACUCCCAUUUUUAUAGCCUUUGCCAAGGGAAGGAAAGGAAAGGGGGCAGAGGGAUGGGGGUGGAGAGUAGAGAAGAACAGAAGAAUGCAGAGGGAAGAGAGGCAGAAAAAGGAAGAGAAGAGGCAAACUGGCAAUUCUGCAGUUUGUACAGGAAUGGGGGGGAGGCUCCAAGUAAUGGCUUUAGGGAUGAUCUGUGGAUUUCAUUUAUCUGUACACAGAUACCCAAGACUUGGCUGUGUUCCCAUCUCCCAAAGUCCUGGACAGUUUCAAGCUGCCCAUAGACUCCCGCAGCAGCUUAAACAAAGCUGGAGCAAAUACAAAACAUUCUGUUUGGCAUUCAAAGUCCUUCAUAAAAAACUGUGGGAGUAGAAACACAGAAGAAAAACAACUGCUUGAACACAUUGGUCUAUGGGGAUAUGGCUGGGGAUAUAGACUCUAAAUGAUCAUCCUAGUGCAAACAUCAACAACAUGGAAAUAGGUUCUGACCAAGGACACAUGUAAUACCCAAUGGAAUUGUGCAUCAGCUACCGGA